UCUCCAGAAGCUGCUGUGGCUUCUGCCCAAAAGCAGAAGGAGCCGGACCCUUGCUUUUAAAAGCCAGAAGCCAGGAAAUCACUGUGGCGGGUGUUACUGUAGAUUAAUGAAAUUUUGAUAAUAUCGGUCUCUAUCCUCCAUUGGUUGAGGCAAUUACUUGAUUGCCAUGAAACCCGUCUUGAUAGAUGAUGCCGCAGCAAUCUCUCUCCCUCUGAUCACAGACGCCCCAUCAAUCUCUCUCCCUCUGACGCCGCCUCAUCUAGCCUUUCAUCACGAUUUUGGGUUGGAAAUCGAAGCCUCACUCAAGCAAGGCUGCUUGGCGAUUUGAUUCAGCUGGUAUUAAUUCAGAGUCAUUGGGAAAUCAAGCGGAAUACCAAGCAACGCAGCAAGUUAUAUUAUCAUUCAUCAUGCAAAACUUAGCUAGGAAAUUUGAAAAUUGAAAUGUAUGAAUGCAAUAAUUAUGUUCCUUAAAUUCAGUAUUUGAUAAAUUGAUGUAUCACAAGGCUUUUGGUACAAAUAUUGAUCAUGGUUUGCAUUCAAUUUGAUUUCCAAUUGAUUA
Rosa rugosa (rugosa rose) is the source of this 559-nucleotide long non-coding RNA. RefSeq lists it as uncharacterized. The record is from RefSeq and is a predicted model, not a curated record. The transcript is spliced from 2 exons. Lineage: Eukaryota; Viridiplantae; Streptophyta; Magnoliopsida; Rosales; Rosaceae.